GACGAACGCUGGCGGCGUGCUUAACACAUGCAAGUCGAACGGAAAGGCCCUGCUUUUGUGGGGUGCUCGAGUGGCGAACGGGUGAGUAACACGUGAGUAACCUGCCCUUGACUUUGGGAUAACUUCAGGAAACUGGGGCUAAUACCGGAUAGGAGCUCCUGCUGCAUGGUGGGGGUUGGAAAGUUUCGGCGGUUGGGGAUGGACUCGCGGCUUAUCAGCUUGUUGGUGGGGUAGUGGCUUACCAAGGCUUUGACGGGUAGCCGGCCUGAGAGGGUGAACGGCCACAUUGGGACUGAGAGACGGACCAGACUCCUACGGGAGGCAGCAGUGGGGAAUAUUGCACAAUGGGCGGAAGCCUGAUGCAGCAACGCCGCGUGCGGGAUGACGGCCUUCGGGUUGUAAACCGCUUUCGCCUGUGACGAAGCGUGAGUGACGGUAAUGGGUAAAGAAGCACCGGCUAACUACGUG
RNAcentral lists this ribosomal RNA (468 nucleotides) under uncultured bacterium. Its description in RNAcentral is "partial 16S ribosomal RNA". It matches the Rfam family "Bacterial small subunit ribosomal RNA", at positions 28 to 507 of the family's 1533-position model. The record is from RNAcentral.